AAUUUACUUUAUUAUAGCAAAAAUAUUCUUUGAUAUUUUUCUGGCUGUGUUAAUGAAAGUUCUGUGGGGAUGAGCUGGCAGAAUUAUUUAUAUUUUAUUUGAUUUAAAUGAUUAGUAGGAUUAAAAUUCUCUUUCUUUUUAGUAUUUUAUAAUUUAUCAUUAUUUAUUUAUUAUUUUCUUUAAAUUAAAUUUUUUAUAAAAGUGAAUAAAGGAAUUAUAUACUUUUGGCAAUAAUUAUGUAAUUAGUAAAAUUAGUUUUAAAUUUAUUUUAAAUUUUAAGGUAAAUUUAAGGAACUCGGCAAUAAGUUUUUCGCCUGUUUAAUAAAAACAUGUUCUUUUGAAAAUGAUUUAAGAUUUGACCUGCCCACUGAGGAUUUAAAUGGCCGCGGUAAUUUGACCGUGCGAAGGUAGCAUAAUCAAUAGUUUUUUAAUUGAAAGCUGGUAUGAAUGGUUGGACGAGAAAACUUCUGUCUCAAGUUUAAUUUUUUUGAAUUUUAUUUUUGAGUCAAAAAGCUUAAAUGAAAUUAAAAGACGAGAAGACCCUAUAGAGUUUAAUUUAUUAUUUUGUUUAUUAGAAGAAGGAAAAAUCAAAUAAAUAAAUUUUGCUGGGGUGGCCUUAAGAUUGAAUUAACUCUUAAUUUUUUUUUCAAUAAUUUUUGUAAUUUUUGAUCCUUUUAAGAUUAUUAGAUCAAAUUACCUUAGGGAUAACAGCGUUAUUUUUCUUGAGAGCUCUAAUCGAAAGAAAAGAUUGCGACCUCGAUGUUGGAUAAAAUAAAC
This 777-nucleotide ribosomal RNA is filed under the name Heterocerus angolensis. RNAcentral's name for it is "partial 16S ribosomal RNA". The stretch from base 305 to 466 matches the Rfam family "Archaeal large subunit ribosomal RNA", at positions 1882 to 2091 of the family's 2987-position model. The record is from RNAcentral. Lineage: Eukaryota; Metazoa; Arthropoda; Insecta; Coleoptera; Heteroceridae.